UGUUAUCAAUGUAUGUUUGUAAUCUUCAUUCAUGCUCCACCUUCUGUGCACAAAUUCAGUUCUUUCUCUUCAGCAAUCUCAUGGCUCUUGUGAAUUUAGCUUGGAAUUUAAGGAUUUCCAUUUACUUAUACUCGGAUUGACCUACUGGUCUAUCAGUAGAUCUAAGAUAAGUCUUCUAACCUUUAGAAUUUAAAUUAUCGCUAAUGUUUGAGUAAAUAGUAAUGUUGUAUUUAUGCGAAUACUGAACAGAAAGAUGGCAUCAAACUAAAUUCCAUUGAAACCCAAACUUCUGUACAUACACAUGAACAAUUCUCCCACGUAAAAGAUCUUGUAACCUCACACAAGCCUGGGAGGAAAGCUCAAAACAUCUUGAUGCCUAAAUGCUUAUUGCUAUUUACUUUGUGAUAAUUGGAAAAAAAUUGGUUCUUGGCAAUUUGGUGUUUGAUGGGAUUAAAGCUCAAAACUUUAUUGUUCUCACUUGUGGGGAAAAAAAAAGAUAUGAAAAUCUCCCUUUACUUUGGGGCUUCUGUGUGUAGUGUUAUAUUGCUAUCUCUUGCUGCUAUAUUGGUGAUUAGUAAUGCUUUUUAAAGUAGCUUAUUUGCAUUCUUUUCUCUUUUCUUUGUAAUUGUAGUUUUCUGAAUCGUUUUCUUCUCCUCUUAUCUAAAAACACUUUAUGUCAAUAUUUUGAGAUAACAGGGUAAUAUUCAUUUAUUUUUCUUUUAUGUAGGGAAGCAAUAGAAGGAGAUAUGAUGCAACACAAAAGAAACCCAAUUUGCCUAGAGCAUAGCACUAGCCUUACAUCUCGUACACCAAAACGACUAAAGGUCCAUGUGCCCAUUUUCUCCAAGGUUUCUCCUACUUCCUUUUUGCUGCAAUGUUGUUAUUCUUAGUGCAGACUAAAUAUAGUUAUAUUUUUCAUGAACUUCUUAACAUAUGUCAUUUGUAGCUUGUGGAUAAGAAAUUUUUUCUUGGAUACUUUCAAAAUAUAGGCUAGCGAUGAUGUACAUAAUGAGGAACAUCAGAUUUUUCGCUAGAAUUAUACAUUGUUCUGGUGUGUUAUACA
Molecule: long non-coding RNA, 1063 nt
Organism: Solanum pennellii
Lineage: Eukaryota; Viridiplantae; Streptophyta; Magnoliopsida; Solanales; Solanaceae
Exons: 2
Source: RefSeq, a predicted model, not a curated record